UGCAGAACUUGGGGGAGCUCAGGCUGCCCUGUGCUGCUGAACAGGUCCUGAGCUUCCAGAUGUAAAAUGAUGAAUUCCACGGGGCUGGGGAGGACUUUUACCCCUGGAUAAAAGGAACGAUGAAGAGAUUUCUGAGUCACCCCAGCGCAGAAACAUCCGGACAAAAUCAGCUGAGAUUCUCUGGCCCCACCCUGGAAAGGGAAAGCAGGGACCCAUCCCGAGCAGCUGCUCCGUGAGUCCGGCUGGAUUCACCGGGAGCGAGGGGAGCAGCGAUCACAGCAUCCCCUAAAGGUGAGAGGAGCUGUUUGUACCUGGAGUUACCUGGA
Melospiza melodia melodia is the source of this 326-nucleotide long non-coding RNA. RefSeq lists it as uncharacterized. NCBI's taxonomy places the organism in Eukaryota, Metazoa, Chordata, Aves, Passeriformes, Passerellidae. The record is from RefSeq and is a predicted model, not a curated record. The transcript has 3 exons.